CGUUGGCCCGAACAAAUGAGCGCUUUGCGCGAGUNUAUGUCGGAGGCCUCCUCCAUUAUACUAACUAAUGUCAUAUGACCCUGUGAUACUCUAGUUGUGAAGGCCCUUGGCCAGAACAAACAAGCACUUUGCGCGAAUUCCGGCCGUAAGGCUACUAGGAUAAGUUCUCCAUCGAAAAUGUAGUUUAAUAUUUUAAUAAUAGGCUACAAGGAUAAAGCAACCCUGCUGUUUAACGCGUAGGAGGCCACCGGCCAACCAAAACAACGAUAGGACUGUCGAUUUGUCACAAAUCACAACAAAGUUGUAACUUAACACGGGCUUUCGGAAAACUCACAGCGCGUGGUUUUGUUCACAACAAAGUAUGCUUGUUGUACAAGUGCUGUGAGUCUAAAGCUACAAUAAACUCAGUUGGGCCAAGGAACCUCAUAAUGUUGUUUGUUGCGCCUUAACUGCAUUGUAGCUUAACGUUGUUUAACAUUCCCCGCGAUUGGCGGAGACAACUAGGCUCAUAAACAAAAAGCAUGUGCUUUGCCCCCUAACGUAGUUAAGUUUGAUGUAGGCAAUAAAACCGUUGGUCACAAAGACUAGGCGGUACUUCGUUGUGAAGUAAGAAGAUUACCGCCUCCCCCUUUAGGUAAAGCUGCAAAGCAUCGAGGCUGAAAGCCGGUAGCCGAGCGUACUGCGUUGGUCGCUGCGCCGCAAGCUGCGCUUUUUUUUAUGUAGUUUAUUUUAAACUCCCUUUGGGUCUUCGAUCCGCGUUGUGUAGUUGGCCGUUGGCAUCCCCUUCGGGGAAAGAAUUCAGCAGAACAGCAGCAAUGUUGUAGAACGUAGCCUUUGUCCGGUAGUAACACUAGACGCCUGCGCUAAGUGUCAGCGUGUUUUAACCCUAAAGAAAAUAAGCUACAAAGUAGAUAGUAGCUUAGUU
This 925-nucleotide long non-coding RNA is filed under the name Volvox carteri. RNAcentral describes it as "long non-coding RNA (VCAR_LNC004289)". The record is from RNAcentral. Lineage: Eukaryota; Viridiplantae; Chlorophyta; Chlorophyceae; Chlamydomonadales; Volvocaceae.